This 3999-nucleotide unclassified non-coding RNA is filed under the name Ixodes scapularis (black-legged tick). RNAcentral describes it as "uncharacterized LOC115316216, transcript variant X1". The record is from RNAcentral. Lineage: Eukaryota; Metazoa; Arthropoda; Arachnida; Ixodida; Ixodidae.
AUGAACAGAUGAUACCUUUCACGGGAAGGUCCUCUCUGCGACAGUUCGUCAAAGGGAAACCACGGCCAGUGGGACUCAAAAAUUUUGUUGCGACCAUUUCCAAAGGCCUGGUGAUGGACUAUGAGAUAUAUCGAGGGAAAUCAACCCCUCUUGCUGACACAGCACUUGGCCUUGGUCCUAAUGUUGUUUGGAGACUUGUGCAAACUCUGCCCGAGAGGUCCCUCAUCUCCUUUGACAGGUACUUCACAACGAUCCCUCUCUUGGAUGAGCUUCUAAAGAGGGGCAUCGAAGGAACAGGAACAAUAAUGGCAAAUCAAAUUAAGAACAUUCGGUUUCGAAGUGACAACACCAUGAAGCAGAGAGAAUACGCGGGGUACACCCGUGACGAUGGAAAUGUGGUUGUAGUCAAGUGGAAGGACAGCAGAGCCAUGACCCUUGCAUCAACUUCUACUGGAGCCAGUCCUGUUGAACCUGUAAAGCGCUGGUCAAAACAGGAAAAAAAGUACAUCGAUGUACCAGCACCGGCAAUUGUCCGAAGGUACAAUGCGUGCAUGGGGGGCGUCGACAUUUGUGAUCAGCUGUUGGAAUAUUACAGGAUCGCUAUCAAGACAAGGAAAUGGACUUUAAAGGUCAGCCUACACAUGAUCGACCUCUCUCUUGCCAACUGUUGGAUGGAAUACAGUGACGCCUGCAGGGCAAAUGCUGUGCCACAGCGAGACACUAUGGACCUUCUCGACUUCCGCCUGGCAGUCGCUGAAGCUCUCUGCUCAAAACCCAAAAGAAAAAGAAGUGAAGCCGCGGAAGAGGUCGAUGACUCAAAUGGCCAGAUUCAGCAGCCUUACAAGGUGGCAAAGCUCCCCGGUGAAGAUAAGCGGCUAGAUUCCUUUGACCACUGGCCCACCGUGGAUGCCCUGAAGACCCCCCGAAUAUGCAGGUUGUCGGGAUGCAACUCACGGUCAAGGACGCAUUGCGAAAAAUGCAAUGUUUACCUUUGCCUGACAAGCGAUAGGAACUGCUUCAAGUUAUUUCAUACUUCCCUGUGAGGCAAAUGUGUCUCUGAGGCAAUGUUUUCCUUGGCAUAUAUUUGUUUACAGUUCGUGAGAUUCAUAGCAAUUGAAGCCCGACCCACACAUUUCUGUGGGUCCGUUUUGAAAAUGAAAGUAAAUUUUCUUUUUUAUCUUUCAGAUAUAUUAUAAGAGGCGUUCAGUGGUCUGAAAAUCCACAAAAGAUUUCAUAUUUGUGGUCAACGUUUUUACCGGGCAGGGAAGGGUUAUAGCAGAUCCAUGUGGGGCAAGCUGUGUAUAUCAACCAGGAAUCCUGGGGCAACAUGCGGAAAGCGGAGUGCGACUCCAUGUUUUGCAAAAUCAAGGCUUCUUCCAUAUGGCUACUUGAAGUGCUUUUGGAGAGGUCGGUGACCAACACCCUCUCCAACCAGGCAAAGAUGGCGGGGCAAGAAAAGGCGUUUGCACCACUCACUCCACAAAAGGUGCUGGCCCUCUCGGGUUCUCCUCGUUGAUCCGCACUCUUUCUUUCCUGUUAAUAUGACCCUGAGCUUCGAGAAUGGCCUCUCAACGCUAACACUGGACACUGGCAGGCUGAGGAGAUGAAGCGCUGCCCGAGUCAAAAUCGGCCAAUCAACAUAUUGUGACUGCCGAAAGAGGCACGGUGCGACGUUUUGAAGCACAACACAACAUGCAGAGCUCGCAUCAAGUUAGUCUUCCUUACAAUGAUUUUGAAAACACGUUCGUACAUGGCGAAGUCAUGGGGCGUUCCUCACUUCACAUUCCAAUCGAUGAUGCGCACAUUACACCAUAACGUCGUGAUGGCAUCUAUGUAUCUCAUACAUUCGGACACGUUUCAAUAGACACUGUCGUUCCACUUUUUCGCCACGGCUCUGCGGUACGACUGGAAGGUAAAAGUGAGCGCUUCCGGUUAAAACUGAAUUUUAGAAGAUGGAUUUGUUGUACUUUUAUCAGUUUUUAUCGGUUUAAAUCGAAAAUGCCGAACCUAAAAACUACCCUUUUUUAGUUAAUACCGAAUCUCCGAACAUGAAUUCGGCGUACUUUUACUGGUUUUUAUCGGUUUAAACCGAAAACUCCAAACCCUACGUAUAAGAAGCCUGAUUACCUUGAUCUCUCUCAUUGUCGACAUUCUUUGUUUUGUGCCGAUUGUCAGUGUGUGUUCACUUCUCUCCGGUCGUGUCUGUUCGACCGACGCCUUUUCAUUAUGCACGGCCCUUUUUUUAAAAGCAUGUUUUGAAUUUUGUUUUAUUGUAAUCUGGUUUUAAUCAUUGUGUUGUAUGGGUCAAGUGCAUUUUUUUAUAUUUCAUGUUUAAGGGUGUGCCAGUACCACGGUCGAAUGGCUGUUACUGGGCACCAAAUAAAACUGAUUGUUGAUUCUUGAUUGAUCAUUAUUAUUAUUAUUUUUGCUAAGGAGAGCCAGAAUUUCUUGCCAGAGGUUAAAGUUUUUUUCUUGCCAGAGGUUAAAGUUUUUUGUUGCCAUUAAACAAAAACUAAAUCCAGAUUUGAUAUUGCCCUCUGCCAUGCAUAAAACUAGACACCGUCAAUAAAUUGUCUUCAGUGUUUGUUUUCAGCGAAUGCCGUCCUUCAUGGUCCACUACAGGUCUCAAAUCUCUCUGGACAAUGUAUCAUUUCGAGUUGUCAAGGAAACAGUCAAAGUCUGCAUGUUCGGAAUGUAAUACUACAAAAAGACUUGGGAGAAAUAAAAAAAACAGGUGGACGUGCCCCAAACAUACGGCCAAUAAAAAAGGGUCAGCUGAAAACAGACAAGGCCAAGCAGCUGCAGGAGGCACUUGAUGCAGAGCAGCAGACUGGUCAAAGAGAGAAGAGAAGAGCGUACAAUAGAAUUGCCAACUGCAAUUCCCAUCGUAACCAUGGUUUCGAGGACAUAAAGCUUUUAGCCUAAACACGGAGAGGGACAUUACUGAGAGAAAACAAAUGUUGGCAAGGGAAGGACUUACAUCUGUAUCAGAUGUAAAAACAGCCAGCACUAUUAUGUGCAUGACAUACUUUUUUUAAGCAAGUGAAAACCUGAUGGCAGCUGCAGGGCCUUUUACCAGACACAUUGUGAUAUCAUUAACAAGAUCCAAGCUGUUUUUAAGAAAGACUGCUUCAGCACGGUUGAUCAAGAGAAUAGUAGCAUUCUAAUUGAAAAGAUCAGGAGCCCCAAUGCUUCAUUGUCUAUUGGCUGUAUGCGGCAUGCAGCUGCGUGGGUAGCAGCGACUCGGACGGCGUGGAAGACAGUGCUGCCAGUGAGUGUGAGGACACGUUGCUCUUCUACUUCCAGACAAAAUUCAUGAGAAACAUGUUGAGAAACUAUAGAGGCUCAGUAGGUUGUGUACACAAAGCUGGUGAACAUGCCCUACCACCUUCCUUGCUUGCUGUGAAAAUGCCAUCAGGAUACACACAAGCUGGUAUGUUUAUUGUGCAGUUCGAUACAGCCCACUGUAUCACCGAGGCUUUAGACGUUUUCAAGCAGUGGUGUAAUAACUGGUCACCACAGCACUGGAUGGAAGAUUACAGCAAAACAAAAAUAGCUGCCUUCCAGCAAGUGCUUCCAGAGAGUAAAAUCUCCAUCUGCGACUUCCAUAAAAAACAGGCAUGGCAAAGGUGGCUGGGCAGACAGGAAAACAGCAUGUCCGAUCUGGAUGAGGCUCCGAACCUUAUAAAACACUUAGCGAGUGCUUCAAAUCCCAAUGACUUCUACAAGGCGUUCAAAGUCCUUGUUGCCUAAGAGUGUUGAGAAAAUGAAAACUUCCGCAUUUACUUUGAAGUAGCGUGGCCCUCUGUAAAAGAGCUGUGGGCCAUGUCUUACAGGCUGUUAUUGGAUGCUGUCUUGACCACAAAUGAUAGCACAGAGCAGGGGUGGCCAAACCGCGGCUCGCGAACCGCAUGCGGCUCUUUGCUGGUCUAAGUGCGGCUUGCGGAUCCCUCGUAAGGGGACACCCCCCCCCCCCCCCCCUUCGCCCCUUUCCGCGUU